RNAcentral lists this long non-coding RNA (372 nucleotides) under Hordeum vulgare. Its description in RNAcentral is "long non-coding RNA (HVUL_LNC006624)". Lineage: Eukaryota; Viridiplantae; Streptophyta; Magnoliopsida; Poales; Poaceae. The record is from RNAcentral.
CCUUGUCUCUCCCUCUCAUUAUAAAUUUCAGUGGCAUCAUGGAUGAACUCAACAAUAUAACUAUCACAUAAGGCAUUAUUUCCAUGAUCCAAAAGCACAAAAGUAUCAUUACUCUUCUUAUAAGCAAAAUCUUCCUUAUUAGGAAUAGUGAGAGUAAAGCAAUCAUUAUCAUCAUGGUGAUCAUCAUAUCUAGGAAGCAUAGUAUCAUCAAAGCAAAUUUUCUCCUCAAAAGUUGGGGGACUAUAAAUAUCAUGUUCAUCAAACCCGUCAUCCCCAAGCUUAGAGCUUUCCAUGUCAUUAGCAAUAUUGGUAUUCAAAGAAAGCAUACUAAUAACAUUGCCACCAUCAUAAUUGUUAUGCAAAUAAUAAAGU